UUAUUAUGAGAGUUUGAUCCUGGCUCAGGACGAACGCUGGCGGCGUGCCUAAUACAUGCA
This 60-nucleotide ribosomal RNA is filed under the name Enterococcus faecalis. Its description in RNAcentral is "partial 16S ribosomal RNA". It matches the Rfam family "Bacterial small subunit ribosomal RNA", at positions 1 to 59 of the family's 1533-position model. Lineage: Bacteria; Bacillati; Bacillota; Bacilli; Lactobacillales; Enterococcaceae. The record is from RNAcentral.